Non-coding RNA from Cervus elaphus (red deer), 73 nucleotides. The record is from the annotation of a RefSeq genome assembly. NCBI's taxonomy places the organism in Eukaryota, Metazoa, Chordata, Mammalia, Artiodactyla, Cervidae.
UCCCUGAUGGUCCAGUGGUUAGGAUUCCACGCCUCCAAUGCAGCAGACACAGGUUCAAUUCCUGGUCAGGGAA